This 1312-nucleotide long non-coding RNA is filed under the name Sorghum bicolor (sorghum). Its description in RNAcentral is "long non-coding RNA (SBIC_LNC017392)". The record is from RNAcentral. Lineage: Eukaryota; Viridiplantae; Streptophyta; Magnoliopsida; Poales; Poaceae.
UUAUGCUUGUAGAGUACGCCAUAUACUCACGCUUAUUAUAUUUCUUUUGGAUAUAAAUCCCGGAUGGGUAACACAUGGAGGUGGCUAUGAGGACUAUCCUGAGGACUUUUAGUCUUGUGCUUCAUUAGUCAACCUUACCUGUGUGAUGGCCUAAAGAGAGUUAUCUAAUUCGUUUCCGCUGUUGUAUCAGACUAUGUGAUGUUAUGACUAUAUUUAUUUUAAAUACUACAAUGAUGACAUGUAAUUUGUGACUUAUGUGUGUGAUUGAUCCUUGUGCACGCAUGAGUUUAUGCAUUCAAUUUCAUUCUUGAAAUUGGGUGUGAUAGUCAUUCAACAGUGUUUUUCUCUCAUAAGAAGUUAGCCAAUAGUACUUUAUGGCAUGACUUAUCAGCCAAACUAACAAGAUAUACCAAUCACUAGAACAGAAUAAACAAUAUGGUUGUUUGUUUUUUUAGAUAGGAUGCCCGAAGGGCGACCAGCACACGCGUAGGGCACGACCCCAGGUCCCCCCAACCUGAAUGUCUGGUGGCAUGUACAUGCUGCGCAUGUACUAUCGUCACCGUCCAAAGCUGCCUCGAGAUAUGUAACAAUCUUCUCUCUAUUGUAUUCUUCUGUGGCCACUUUUAUUUUUCAACCGUAUUCGUCCUGUACUUCCUUUUUUCAAUGCCACAGCUCUGUGUAGGACCACCCACUUUCUGCCGCAAACUUCUGGACUAUAGUGUACUAGCAUCGCAUCGCUCCUCUCUCUGACUGUUUUUUCUUUUUUGUUAUUUCUUUUAAUUUUUUCGUUUACAUUAACAAAUGGAGUACAUUAGUACUUUUCAUUUAUUUCACUAAUUAUAUAUUUUUCAUAGUUACUAUUCUUUGGAACACUUUUUAUUGUACCCAUUUCGUGAUUUAUUUCCCAUAAAUCUGUUAAACGCCUCUUUUAUACCCAUUUCUUGGAACACUUUUUAUGUACACCCUCUUUGCACUAUUUACAAUACGUAAAUAUAUAGUUCAAUGUAUCUUCUAUUUAAAUCGAGGAGAAAACAGAGAUGAAGAGAUCGAACGGGACCAGUUAUAUGGUAUAGAAGAAGUAUAGCUAAUGUAUAGUACACAUGUACCCAACGUAUACAAGCAAGAAGCAAUUAAUAUAGAAAUCAUGCUGUCAUUGUCAGUUGCACGUAUCUCGAGGUUGGCUAGACGGCUGGGAUAAUACCUGCUCAACAUGUACAGAUAAAAAAAACCAUGUUCCACGACUAAGAGCCUCACAGGUGUUCCUCACUUCCCGUCGCACAAACGCGUAGCUGUGCGAGUAUUACCAGUCCUA